GUUACCGAAGUGUGAGAACGGUCAUAUGUGAAGUGAAUUCGGCUGAUCCUCCUUAUACCAUCAAGAUCUUCCUCACCACUCGGGGUAGAACAAGUAUAUAAGGACCAAGAUAUAAGGAUCAAGAUAUAAGGACCUUUGUCUACCACUCGGGGUCUGACAAAGUCUAAGAAUGACACUUGCCUACCACGAAGGGCCUGGCAAAGUCAAAAGAUGACAUUCGCCUACCACGAAAGGCCUGACGAAGUCAAAAGGAUCACCUGCCGAAGAGGCUACCAUCGAAUGGUCAGCGAGUCCUCCCGAACCUCCUAUCAAAACCAAAAGAUGACAUUCGCCUACCACGAAGGGCCUGACGAAGUCUAAGUGGCGACAAU
Molecule: long non-coding RNA, 371 nt
Filed under: Panax ginseng (ginseng)
Lineage: Eukaryota; Viridiplantae; Streptophyta; Magnoliopsida; Apiales; Araliaceae
Description: long non-coding RNA (PGIN_LNC004482)
Source: RNAcentral